Molecule: unclassified non-coding RNA, 170 nt
Filed under: uncultured fungus
Lineage: Eukaryota; Fungi
Description: sequence contains ITS1
Source: RNAcentral
UGAGAGUUGCAAAACUCCCAAAACCCUUUGUGAACUUACCUGAACUUGUUGCUCCGGCAGGCGGCCCCAGGGCGGGGCCUGCAGCCUGUGCUUAGCGCGGGUGCCUGUCGGAUGUAUCGAGACUCCUGAAAUUGUUUGUCUUCUGAGUCGUGGCGGCGAAAAUAAAUCAA